This 497-nucleotide ribosomal RNA is filed under the name uncultured bacterium. RNAcentral describes it as "partial 16S ribosomal RNA". It matches the Rfam family "Bacterial small subunit ribosomal RNA", at positions 28 to 507 of the family's 1533-position model. The record is from RNAcentral.
GAUGAACGCUGGCGGCGUGCCUAAUACAUGCAAGUCGAGCGAACAGACGAGGAGCUUGCUCCUCUGACGUUAGCGGCGGACGGGUGAGUAACACGUGGAUAACCUACCUAUAAGACUGGGAUAACUUCGGGAAACCGGAGCUAAUACCGGAUAAUAUAUUGAACCGCAUGGUUCAAUAGUGAAAGACGGUUUUGCUGUCACUAAUAGCUGGAUCCGCGCCGCAUUAGCUAGUUGGUAAGGUAACGGCUUACCAAGGCGACGAUGCGUAGCCGACCUGAGAGGGUGAUCGGCCACACUGGAACUGAGACACGGUCCAGACUCCUACGGGAGGCAGCAGUAGGGAAUCUUCCGCAAUGGGCGAAAGCCUGACGGAGCAACGCCGCGUGAGUGAUGAAGGUCUUCGGAUCGUAAAACUCUGUUAUUAGGGAAGAACAAAUGUGUAAGUAACUAUGCACGUCUUGACGGUACCUAAUCAGAAAGCCACGGCUAACUACGUG